CACACCGCCCGUCGCUACUACCGAUUGAAUGGCUAAGUGAGGCUUUCGGACUGGCUUAGGGAGAGUGGCAACACUCACCCAGAGCCGGAAAGUUGUCCAAACUUGGUCAUUUAGAGGAAGUAAAAGUCGUAACAAGGUUUCCGUAGGUGAACCUGCGGAAGGAUCAUUACAGAGUUCAUGCCCUAACGGGUAGACCUCCCACCCUUGUGUAUUUAUACCAUGUUGCUUUGGCGAGCCGAGAAGCUUCGGCCCAUCCUUGGACUUUCGGGUCUUUGUGUGCUCGCCAGAGGAAAACUAAACUCUGAAUAUUUUUGUCGUCUGAGUACUAUAUCAAUAGUUAAAACUUUCAACAACGGAUCUCUUGGUUCUGGCAUCGAUGAAGAACGCAGCGAAAUGCGAUAAGUAAUGUGAAUUGCAGAAUUCAGUGAAUCAUCGAAUCUUUGAACGCACAUUGCGCCCCUUGGUAUUCCGGGGGGCAUGCCUGUUCGAGCGUCAUUUCAACCCUCAAGCUCUGCUUGGUAUUGGACUUCUGCCAGUAAUGGCAAGUUCUAAAAACAGUGGCGGUGCCGUUGGGUCCUGAGCGUAGUAAUACUUCUCGCUACUGGAUUCCCGCGUGCUUCCUGCCAAUAACCCCAAAUUUUUUAGGUUGACCUCGGAUCAGGUAGGGAUACCCGCUGAACUUAAGCAUAUCAAUAAGCGGAGGAAAAGAAACCAACAGGGAUUACCUCAGUAACGGCGAGUGAAGCGGUAAAAGCUCAAAUUUGAAAUCUGGCUCUUUCAGGGUCCGAGUUGUAAUUUGUAGAAGAUGUUUCGGGUGUGGUCCUAGUCUAAGUUCCCUGGAACUGGACAUCAUAGAGGGUGAGAAUCCCGUAUGUGACUGGGUACCUACGUCCAUGUGAAACUCUUUCGACGAGUCGAGUUGUUUGGGAAUGCAGCUCAAAAUGGGUGGUAAAUUUCAUCUAAAGCUAAAUAUUGGCCAGAGACCGAUAGCGCACAAGUAGAGUGAUCGAAAGAUGAAAAGCACUUUGGAAAGAGAGUUAAACAGUACGUGAAAUUGUUGAAAGGGAAGCGCUUGCAAUCAGACUUGCGCCUAGUUGAUCAUCCGGGCUUCUGCCCGGUGCACUCGAUUAGGCUCAGGCCAGCAUCAGUUUGGGUGGUUGGAUAAAGGCCUUGGGAAUGUGACCCCUUUCGGGGGGUGUUAUAGCCCAAGGUGCAAUGCAGCCUACCUGGACUGAGGACCGCGCUUCGGCUAGGAUGCUGGCGUAAUGGUUGUAAGCGACCCGUCUUGAAACACGGACCAAGGAGUCUAACAUCUAUGCGAGUAUUUGGGUGUUAAACCCAUAUGCGUAAUGAAAGUGAACGGAGGUGAGAACCCUUAAGGGUGCAUCAUCGACCGAUCCUGAUGUCUUCGGAUGGAUUUGAGUAAGAGCAUAGCUGUUGGGACCCGAAAGAUGGUGAACUAUGCGUGAAUAGGGUGAAGCCAGAGGAAACUCUGGUGGAGGCUCGCAGCGGUUCUGACGUGCAAAUCGAUCGUCAAAUUUGCGUAUAGGGGCGAAAGACUAAUCGAACC
Molecule: ribosomal RNA, 1570 nt
Rfam family: Eukaryotic large subunit ribosomal RNA (bases 648-1570)